This 349-nucleotide long non-coding RNA is filed under the name Cucumis sativus (cucumber). RNAcentral's name for it is "long non-coding RNA (CSAT_LNC001160)". The record is from RNAcentral. Lineage: Eukaryota; Viridiplantae; Streptophyta; Magnoliopsida; Cucurbitales; Cucurbitaceae.
GGCGAGGCUUGGUUGUCACAGUGACCGUCUUUUCCUUCAUUGCCGCAUGGCGGUGGUCUCAGCGAUGGCAAUGAAACUGCCAUGGUAAGCAGGGCCAUUCCCUGCACGACAUAAGGUUGGAUGAAUGAAUACAACACAAGUACAUACUCAAAUUCCCUCCAUCCCUGUAUUUCUCUCUAAAUUUAUUCUACACUACGACUUUGAUUGAAGAAUGACUAUUCUUUUAUUCUCAUUCUAGGGAAAUGAGUUUGAACGCCAUGUAAUUCAUUUACAGAAGUUGAAAUCUUACAGUGAGGUAAAUUGCAGAAGCCGAUACAAAGGUCCAGUAUCGGCCGAGAUAAGCAUCAGC